This 282-nucleotide unclassified non-coding RNA is filed under the name plant metagenome. RNAcentral's name for it is "partial contains small subunit ribosomal RNA, internal transcribed spacer 1, and 5.8S ribosomal RNA". The record is from RNAcentral.
UUUCCGUAGGUGAACCUGCGGAAGGAUCAUUGUCGAAACCUGCCCAGCAGAACGACCCGCGAACUUGUAUAAACAACUGGGGGCGGGGGGCGUUCUCGCCCCGUGCCCCCGAACGGCGGGGAGACACUCGUGCCUUCUUGCCGAACAACGAACCCCGGCGCGGUCUGCGCCAAGGAACUUCAACUAAAGAGUGCCUCCGGUCGCCUCGGAAACGGCGUGCGUGCCGGAGGCGAAUCUUGUGCAAAACCAUAACGACUCUCGGCAACGGAUAUCUCGGCUCGC